This 1502-nucleotide ribosomal RNA is filed under the name metagenome. Its description in RNAcentral is "bacterial SSU rRNA". It matches the Rfam family "Bacterial small subunit ribosomal RNA". The record is from RNAcentral.
AGAGUUUGAUCCUGGCUCAGGAUGAACGCUAGCGGCAGGCCUAACACAUGCAAGUCGUGGGGCAGCGGGUGUAGCAAUACAUGCCGGCGACCGGCGCACGGGUGCGUAACGCGUAUGCAAUCUGCCUGUAACUGGAGGAUAGCUCCCUGAAAAGGGAAUUAAUACUCCAUAAUAUUAUAUCCGGGCAUCUGGGUAUAAUUAAAGCUCCGGCGGUUACAGAUGAGCAUGCGUGCCAUUAGCUAGUUGGUAGGGUAACGGCCUACCAAGGCUACGAUGGCUAGGGGAUCUGAGAGGAUGGUCCCCCACACUGGAACUGAGACACGGUCCAGACUCCUACGGGAGGCAGCAGUGAGGAAUAUUGGUCAAUGGGCGCAAGCCUGAACCAGCCAUGCCGCGUGAAGGAUGAAGGCCUUAUGGGUUGUAAACUUCUUUUGUACGGGACGAAUCCCCCGGACGUGUCCGGGGUUGACAGUACUGUACGAAUAAGCAUCGGCUAACUCCGUGCCAGCAGCCGCGGUAAUACGGAGGAUGCAAGCGUUACCCGGAUUCACUGGGUUUAAAGGGUGCGUAGGCGGGUUUGUAAGUCAGUGGUGAAAGCCUGUAGCUUAACUACAGAAUUGCCAUUGAUACUGCAGAUCUUGAGUUCAGUUGAGGCAGGCGGAAUGUGCAGUGUAGCGGUGAAAUGCUUAGAUAUUGCACAGAACACCGAUUGCGAAGGCAGCUUGCUAAACUGAUACUGACGCUGAGUCACGAAAGCGUGGGGAGCAAACAGGAUUAGAUACCCUGGUAGUCCACGCUGUAAACGAUGAUCACUGGUUGUUGGCGAUAUACUGUCAGCGGCCAAGCGAAAGCAUUAAGUGAUCCACCUGGGGAGUACGACGGCAACGUUGAAACUCAAAGGAAUUGACGGGGGCCCGCACAAGCGGAGGAACAUGUGGUUUAAUUCGAUGAUACGCGAGGAACCUUACCUGGGCUUAAAUGGAGAACGACCGGUGCCGAAAGGUGCCUUUCCGCAAGGACGGUCUCCAAGGUGCUGCAUGGUUGUCGUCAGCUCGUGCCGUGAGGUGUCGGUUUAAGUACCAUAACGAGCGCAACCCUCAUCGUUAGUUGCCAGCGGGUAAUGCCGGGGACUCUAACGAAACUGCCAGAGUAAUCUGGAGGAAGGUGGGGAUGAGGUCAAAUCAGCACGGCCCUUACGUCCAGGGCUACACACGUGUUACAAUGGCCGGUACAAAGGGCAGCUACCACGCGAGUGGAUGCAAAUCUCUAAAACCGGUCUCAGUUCGGAUUGAAGUCUGCAACUCGACUUCAUGAAGUUGGAUUCGCUAGUAAUCGCGCAUCAGCCACGGCGCGGUGAAUACGUUCCCGGGCCUUGUACACACCGCCCGUCAAGCCAUGGGAGCCGGGAGUACCUGAAGUACGUGACCGCAAGGAGCGUCCUAGGGUAAAACUGGUGACUGGGGCUAAGUCGGAACAAGGUAGCCGUACCGGAGGUGCGGCUG